This is a long non-coding RNA of Boleophthalmus pectinirostris (great blue-spotted mudskipper), 1358 nucleotides long. RefSeq lists it as uncharacterized. NCBI's taxonomy places the organism in Eukaryota, Metazoa, Chordata, Actinopteri, Gobiiformes, Gobiidae. The transcript is spliced from 2 exons. The record is from RefSeq and is a predicted model, not a curated record.
CGUCCCCGGGCUGUGCCUGGGCUCCCGGGCUUCUCUCUCCUUUCUUGGGGACGGAAGGUGGAAGCUGUUUGGCUGAAGAUGCGGGUCGGAAGUACCGUAGUUUAUGUAUGCUAAUAGGGGGAGUUGGGGGUUGUAGCUACAUAUUUACGUUCAGUGGGAGCCGCCCUUCAUUCACCCACAUGGUUACCAACUGGUCGCUUUCCUUCGCGCCACUUUACUAACCUCCUAAUCAUUUUAAACAGGCGCAGCUGGCUUCAAAUGGGCUCGCUGUCGACUCGGAUCUUACUUUGUGCUUUUCCUUCGUGUGUCGAUAGUAAAGUUUUGGAGAUAGUUGCGUAUUUAUUUCUCUCUUUUGUCGGUAAGAGGCAAGACUGCAGCCCAAGCAAGUGAGCGAAGAUGGUGGAUUUCGGCUGAUUCCUCGUGGACUGGAGACUUUCAAGAGGAGAAAACACCUGCUGAAUGAAGACUGCGUUGGUGCUGUUGAGUCUGGAGUAUUGUCAAAGUGCUUACAGUGCAGGUAGUACUAUGUCAAACCUACUGCAGUGGAGGCACUUAAAGCAAUACCCUGACACUGGUGCUCUUUGUAGUGUGUGACUAAAGUACUGUCUUUGUGCUAAGGUGCAUCUAGUGCAGAUAGUGACAUAGACUAGCACCUACUGCCCUAAGUGCUCCUUCUGGCAUAAGGGGCUGUAAUAUGCGCCACCACUCCAAUUUGACUCUAAUUGGGCCUAAAUUUCUCGCAGUUCUCUGCUAGUUUUGCAUAGUUGCACUACAAGAAUAGAUGAGUUGUGCAAAUCUAUGCAAAACUGAUGGUGGCCUGCUUGCUCUACUCCUGUUAGAUUGGUUGUUUGAGGUGUUUGUUUAUGGAUCCAGGAUUUGAGUUGUUAUCCAGUGACUUGAAGUUUCAGCAGUACUAAAGUGCUUAUAGUGCAGGUAGUGUUCUUCAAUCUACUGCAAUGUGAGCACUUGAAGUACUUCUAACUAACUGCAUCUGAUGGUGCAAUGUCCCCACAACCUUCUGCUUUCAAUCAUGACUGGGUGAGUUUUGCUGGUUUGCUUUCAGCUUUAACUAGUCGCUGUGCAAAUCCAUGCAAAACUGACUAGGUUAUGAAACUCCUUCCCUCGGUCGAUAUACAUCAUAUAAAUGUAGUAAUAAAAGCUCCUGUGUGCAGUUGAGUGUCCUUCUCUGUGCAGGUGGGGAUUAGUCGCAAUGCUGUGAUCCUCCAGGUAUUGCACUUGUCCCGGCCUGUGAAGGGAUGGAGCAGACCAAAUGUUUGUACUGUUGACCAAUGUAUUGCUAGAUGUUUUAACAUGUAAUGUGAUCAUGAGUUCAAAUAAACAUUUUGACAUGUUCCUUU